Molecule: long non-coding RNA, 37108 nt
Filed under: Malus domestica (apple)
Lineage: Eukaryota; Viridiplantae; Streptophyta; Magnoliopsida; Rosales; Rosaceae
Description: long non-coding RNA (MDOM_LNC004962)
Source: RNAcentral
AGAGAUUUAACUCAUGCAUUAUGUAUUUAAUGUCCCACAAAUUAUGAAAUUUAAAAAAAUUCAAAUAAUAUUUUUAAAAUAUAAUGAAUACUUGAAAAUAAAUAUUAGAAUAAUAUUGUUCUUCACAAAAUUAUAGCAAAGAAAAUAAUGUACCCACAUAAUUAUUAAUAUAUUUUAAAUCAUAAAAUAAAUACAUUUAAUUAGCAUGGGUACAUUUAGUAAAAUUAAAAAUGGGUACAAAUAAAUUAAAAAAUAUGGGUACAAAUACAAAUAAAACCUAAAAAAUAUGGGCACAAAAAGAAAUUAAUAUAUGGGUACAAAUUAAAAGUGAAAAGAAAAUUGGUAUUAAUAAAAAAAAGGUUGCAAAUUAAAAAUGGGUACAAAAUAAAAAUAAAAAUAUAUGAUAAAAAAUUUAGUCAUAAAUAUAAAUAUACCAAUUGUUAUUACCAAAUGUAACAUUUCUAACACUAAAUGAAUAUAUUUAGAGAUACAAAUAUUUUAUUAUUGAAAUAAUUAAUGAAGUUUAUUAAUACCUAGGGACCUUGAUAAAAAAUUGAAAAUAAAUAAGAUUUUAAUCAAAGGAGUAGUAAAAAGAGAAAUGGGAACCAAAUUUAUAUUUAUAAUUAUUAGGCCCUGUUUGUUAAUUUGGAGAAAUUUUUUAUUGUGAGGGGAACACGAGUGGUACACCACGUGUUUUUAUGUAAAUGAUGAGAAAUUUUAUUUUUAAAUUUAUUAACUUUUUUAUUAACUUUAAUGUAUGGGUACAUUAACCAAAAUUAACAAAAAAAGUUAUUGUACCAAAACAUGGAUACAUUUUCAAAUCAACAAAAAAGAAUGUACCCAUAUAAGUUUAAACAUGGAUUAAAAAAUUUGAAUGGAUUUUAUAUUAAAAAAGGGUACAUUUUACAUAUAACAAAUUGAUAUAUUUGAGAAUGGGUGCAUUUAAGAUUAAAAAAAUUGAAAAAUUAUAUGAAUGGGUACAUUUAAGAUUAAAAAAUUGAGAAUCUUUUUAUAUAUAAAAAAAACUAAUAGUUACAAACUUAAUUUAAUUUAAUUUUUUAUUAUUUUGGAAAUGUUUGAAUUGAGAAUUAAUUAGAAGUUUAAAAAUUGAGAAUCUUUUUAUAUAUAAAAAAACUAAUAGGUACAAACUUAAUUUAAUUUAAUUUUUUAUUAUUUUGGAAAUGUUUGAAUUGAAAAAUAAUUAGAAGUUUAAUAGAGGUGUGAGUAUUAAACCCUAAAUUAAUUACUAAUUUUAUAUUAAAAAAUUAUAUAAUAAACAUGUAAAUUCAUUAUCACAUUAAUACUAGGGACUUGAAUCAAAAUUUGAAAACUAAUAAGGUCUUAGUCAAUGAACAGUAAAAACUAGGGACCGGAUACUAAUUUUUCCCUAUAAAAAUAUACAGAUAAAAUCAUAAAAAUUUGGCAACACAGGUUUCGUUUCCCUUUCAUAAAAAGCUAAAUUUUUUGUUCUGUUAAAUUUGACCACCCUUGAACUAAUUAGAAAAUAGGAUUAUUUGGUCGAACCUGUAGUAAACUAACCACUUGGUAUAAAUUUUGCACUACAUUCUGGAAAAAUUAAUCUUUUUUAACAACUUUUUCAUUUGGACUUUCUUAUUUUACUCUUCUCUUAUCUUGUAAUGUUGCACAAUAUCCAAACGACCUAUUUUUAGGUUACUCUUAAUGAUCAUCUUUAUUAAAAAAUAAUUAAAUUGAAAAUUAUUUAGUCAUCUAACGAUUAUUUAUAGAAUAGACAAACCAUGUUCUUCAUUUAACUAAAAUAUCAACAAUGUGAACUGGCGGUCAAAUAAUUUCUAAUUUUUUUUAUUUUGUAGAGUUGAAGUUUACUGAGCGAUCUAAAAAUUAUAUAGUUUUGAUCUCCAAGAAUGAAUAAGAAGAAAGCAGAAAGGGUAAACGAGAAAAUUCAAGUAAAAAGUAAUGAGAAUCGAGUGGAAAGGUUAUUAGAAUUCCAUCUUUCUUUAAUACGUUAAAGACCUUGUAACCUAUUUAGUCACUUGUAUUCGGAUUUUGUCUAAUUUCUGAAACCAAUAGUAAUUGUGUAGGGAGAAAAAAAAAUUAUAUAUAUACGUAUAUUAUAUAUGUAUGUGUGUGUAUAAAUAUAUGUGUCUCUGUCUAUAUAUAUAGGCCCUUUUAUGCAAAGGGAUUUCUAUUUUUUUUUUCAAAAAAUGGGGAUUAGGUGUGGAGCUCACUCCACAUCGAACUUCAACGAUCCGAACUGUCUAUUUUGUAAGUCUCGAUUCAUAGAUCAUCCUUGCAAAAAUUCAAUUUAAUCCGAAAUCAUUUGCCUAUUCAAUUAUCAAAAUAAAAUUUCAUUAUUUCUUAUAUAAUAAAAUAUUUGUUUAGAUGUCUUAAACAUUUCCGAUUUGACCGAUAUUUUGCAAAGAUGAUCUAUGAGGUGUAACUUGAAAAAAGAUGGUUCAUAUCGUUAAAGUUCGAUGUAGUGUGAAUCCCACAACUAAUCUUUAUUUUUAUAAAAAAAAUGGGGAUCCCUUCCCUUAAAGAUUGCCUAUAUCUAUAUAUAAAUAAACUGAGUGUUUUCAUCCUCCAACCAAACCAGUGAUGACUCUGCCAUUUGAUUUCAUAAAAUGAAAGUAUCUAUAUUUGCGUGCAGAAAACUAAGCAUCGUGCACGGCUUGGUCUUUCCAGGCAAGGAAUAGUGUUAUUUUCCAUAUAGAAACCGUUUUCUUCCUUGUUUGCAUAUCACCUUUUCAUGAAGGUUCGCAUCUUCAUGAGGUUUGCAGAAAAUAUAACUAAUUUUCUCGGACAAAACGUUAAUUCUUUACCAAAAAAUAAAAAUAAAAAAAAUAUCACAUCUCAUAUUCACAAGAAUUGUAAACUUUCCAACCAAUGUAAGUAGAGGCAAGUGGUUCUUUACCACAAUGAUGAAAUGAAGUUGAACCUUUUUUUCAUGACAGUGUGAAUUUAAACUACGUCGGUAGUUAAUCUAACACAAAAAACCAAUGUAAGUAGAGAAAACAUCAUAUUACAAAAAUGGCUGCACCGAAUAACUUUUCUUGGUGAAAACUCGUGAGGAAAUAACCUUUUGUCAACUAGUACAAGAUUAUAAACACAUCAUUGUCACUUAUAUACAAGACAAAAGAACUGCUAUGCAUGCUUCGAUAUCUCUUAAUUUGAAUCCAAUCAAAUCUUAAUUAAAUUCACAAACAAUAUAUGAAUUUAUGACUUACUUCGUGUAUGCUACAUUAAGCAUAUGUAAAAACACAUAUAUUGUUGGCAUGUUCUUCGAAACAAUACAUGUAUGAAUACAAAACAUGUUGUCUACAACCUGAUCAUGCACUUAUUAAAUUAACAAUCAAGACGAAUAUGGAAAACCCAAGUAUGCAAUCAUGCAAAACAAGAAGUGUUGCAACCCGUCUAUAAGUUACUAUAUUUUAUUUUCUGAAAAUUGUGAAAUGUCCAAAAUACUUUUAGAGAAGAAAGUGUUGACUUUUGUUGACAAUUAAACUCGUGACACGUAUGUCCUAGCACAUGUUCGUGGUACUCAUUGAUAUGAGCGCACGAGAGCAAGUGGAGAGGAAAUUAGAGCUAAAAUGAAGAUUUUACGAAACACAAAUGUUAAGGGUAGUCUUAUAAUUCUAAAUUUAAAGAGUAAAACUAAUAAUAAUAUAAAAUGUUAACUAAAGUAAAGCAAAGGGAUCUGGAAGUGGGAGGAAGAGAGAAGAAAAAAAGGGGGAGAUGGCGUUGGCCAAAGGAUGGGGGGGGAUUACAAGGAAUCCCACGGCCUGAAACUAUGAAUCGGAAAGGGGGGGGGGUGGAGAGCGGAAAAAAGAAAGGGGGGACAAGAUAGAAACUAUGAAUCUUUGAGAGAAGUCGAAGGAAAUAUAGAAGACACCAGGAGGAGCAAAGAGAAAAUAAGGAAUUAAAAUGUUUGCUAGAACUGAGAGAAAAGGUGUACAACCAUGUCGUUUGAACCAUAACAGAAAUGUGAUUGCUUUUGUCGACCGCAGCAUAGGUAACGAUUCCCAUCUCUCUUUAUUCCUUCAAUAGCUGCUUUGUAUCAAUCUUUCGUAUUAUUUUCAAUUUUAUACUUUGGGUGUUGUAAUCAAAUAUCUUGUUCUAGGGUUUGGAUUAAAAGGUCAAGUCUUGUUAAUUGUUGAAUAUAAUUGAAAUCGAAGUUAUAAACAUGAAUUCUGAAAUGUGUGGAAGCAUUCUGAAAAUGUAAUUUGGAUUAUAAGAGUAUAGGUUCUAAAUUGCAGGAAAUUUAUUAAUUCUUCACAGAAAAACUAUGUUUCAAGUAGCCUAUUUUGGCUCUUGAUUUCUAUGUCUUUAUUGAUUCCUUUUGAGCCAAUAUUAUGUGGUUUAAAACUAGACAUGCCCAUGAUCAAUACCCAUCUGAUAUCACUUAAUUCCAUUGAGUAUUGAUAUGUCAAAAUCAUAUUCAAACUUGAGUCCCGAAGCUGCCAGACAGCAGCAAAUACUGGGUUUCCAGUUUCGGGACUCUAUUUUGUAAAUUGCAGAACUUUCAACUUAGAACCCCAUUUUCUACAAAUCUUUUAUGCUUUUGAAGUACACAAAACAAGCUUCGAAACCCAUGUAAGUUUGCAUCAACCGGUAUAGGUAUGAGUGUUCAAAAUCAGGUUAAUCUUGGUUGACUUAAACUGCUUUUCUGCAGCUUUUGUGGAGAAGAGGUUGCUGCUUUGCAAUGUUCUUUCUUCUCUAAAUUUUAAUUCUAAUUUACUUAUCGAUAUUGAGUUUAUUAAAUCACUUUAUAUGGUUAUGUAUUGGGUUUCAAAGAACCAUUUUCUAAUACAAUUAUAAGCUCAAUGAUUUAAUGUAUUGGUGCACUUAUGCCUAUUGAAACACAGAAUCACUUAUAGUCCAGAAUUAUUUCCAUUCAAACGUAUUGGUAGUGAUGAAGCUAUAUUAGGUCAACCAAAAUGGCAUUUGAAUUGGGGACUGUUAAAUUAGUAUUCCAAGUACUUUGACUAGGAUUAAAGUUCAUCUCAUGCAUUUAGUAAUGUCUUAUAUUGUGAAAAUGGAUUUGGCCAUGUUGGUGGAUCCUUGUAUUAGUAACUGAGAGCAAUGCUUAGGAAUCCAUGUAGAGGAAAUACAACAGACAUUUUCAGAGUUUGAUUAUACUAAACUUCGUGGAAUGUUAUCUUAUUAUGUAUCUCAUAGGUUGAUUACUUGUGUACAUAAUUGGAUUACAUGUAUGGUAAUCGAAUUAAUGCUUUUGUUGGAUGUCUAUUAGUGUGAUUAUGGCUUGCUUUGAUAUGAGAUGGAAUUCUUAGCAGACUUUGUAAUAACGUGAGAUAUGUUAGGGAACUACGAAUGGCUAGAUACCGUCUUAGGGUACGUAGGCAAUCUAACACAGAGGUUAGAUGCAACCAUAUGUAAAAGAAAAAUUACUACUAUUGACACAAUGAUUCGGGUGAAAGGGUAUGUGAUGACGUCACGUGUGGAUCCUAGACCUAUCUUGGGAUCGGGGCGUGACAAGAAGUAAUUAUGAAUUACCACUUAUGUAAUGCCAAUUCAGAACUGAUGACAAAAUUAAAGCAACCAAAUCUAAACUUAUCUUAAGGUUGUUGGGAAAAUAGGGUCUAAUUGCUAUAUUAAAUCACAUAAAAAUUAAGAAAUAAUUUAUGCAAUUAUAUAUCAAAGUAAUUAAUGCAUGCACAUGAUUAAUCAAUGUUAAACGAACAUGAUAUAAUGGAUUAGAAAAACCUAGAAAUACAGUCGAGGCAAGUGAUGGACACUCUGUCUUUAAGAUAAGUUUAUGCCUUACUACGGUGUUCAUGGUUGGUUGACGCUUGUCACUCGGGAUACAACGACCACGCCCUUGUAAUAGUAGCACUCCAAAUCAUAAGGCGCCAAUGAAUCAUGAUUCUCAUAUAGACUCAAUGGUACUAUCUAAUUUUUAGUGCACUAUAUGUAUGAAUAUGAAUAUUGAUUUUAUGAUUAUAGGAUGCUUCCCUAUUUAUAGAUUUGAGAUAUUUUUUUUGAAAAAUAUGUGACCAUUCAUCAAGAGUCAAAAGUUACUAUUCAUUAUGUUAAACGUGUAUUUCCACCAAAAUACAUAACUUCUAAUUUCCAUUUAAUUAUUUAAUUUAAUAUAAUAAUAUUAAAAGUUCCAACAAUGCUAUUAGAAAUGGGGCGCCUACACUUAAGCCCAUUUUUAACUGAAAUGGCUAAAUAUAGUCCUGUUCAAAAUUAUAACCCUGUAAAAUUUUUUUUUUUUAAAUAAACAGUAUCAGACUAUACUCAUAUACCAUCUUCAACCAACCGAAUGCGCUAAGCAUAGCCCCUUAAUAAUUUAUUAGUUUUAUAUUUAUACUUUAAAUUUAUGGUUAAUUAAACUACUUUCGGAUGUUUUCGAACCUAACCGUUGAGUUUCAAUCAAUUAUUGCAAUUGGAAGAGUAGGAUCUCAAAAAAGGUUAAGAAGAAGACCACAUUUGGCUAGCUUGAUGCCCCUUUGGAGAUGAAUUUUUGAGCAAAUUAGGCUAUUUUCUAGUUUUUAAUCGUUAGCCUUUGGGAUGACCUAACAUUAUCUUUCCCUCGGCCUGUAUUGUUCAUCUCUUCUCCCACUGCCAUUGAUUGAUCCACAUAGCUCAUCGUCAUGAAGUCAUCGGUGUUUGUUCUCAAUAUUUAUUCAAUAAUGAGCAUAGAUUAUAACCGACAGCCCAUCCUAGUCGUGAGCAGUGUAGCUACUCUUAUUGUGGUCUUCAUCCUCGUCUGAUAUAGGGCUUCCUCGCCUUUUCCGGAACCAUUGGAAGUAAGUGUCGAGUCAGUUACUGUUUCCCGACUCAGCGCGGCCGGGCCCGAGUGUACCGUUAAAUAGGAGCUAAAGCUCGUAGUCACAAACCCCAACAGCAAUCACGACUUCGAUCUCUACAUUGGAGAUCAUCUGCAGGUCACACUCUUCUUGUACAAUCGCUGGCUUAUCGGCAGUUUUAUGGUGACUACCAAGUCAUUACAUCCUCCCUUGCUUUUAACCAGCGAGACCAACUAGACGACCACCUUAAGUUUCAAAAUGCAAACUGAUCGUGCCUACUUUGGUGAAAAGUUCAUCGAGGAAAUCUUCAGAAGGAUAAUCCAAGUCCACCUGAAUGUGAUGGCUUGAUAUCGGCUCAUGCCCACCACUUCGAAGCCUGAGGGAUUCCAUGUGUUAUGGCUCUCCUGCCUUGGCAUGGGGCUGUGCGAGUUCGAUUCUACCCGUAGCAAGGAAAUCGUUUGACUCUUUAUUAAUUGUGUUGGUAAAUGUAGUUGCUUGCAAUAGACAGAUUGAUGUUAUGUAAUUGGAGAUAAAUUGAUUCUACUUAAUUCCAAAUUAAUCCAGUGAUGUCUUUACUUAUCGGAUUUGUUUGCGCAUUACAUACAUUGCUGUUGGGAAAUUCAGGGUUUGGGCUUGUUAAACUGACUACAUAAUUUAAUGAUUUUAUCUCAUUAAACUGAUUACGUAAUCAAUUUAAUGAGAUAAAAACAUUAAAUUAGGUAAUCAAUUUAAUGAGCCCGAACCUUGCAUUUCCCAACAACAAUGUAUGUAAUGCGCAAUCAAAUCUGAUAAGAAAAGACAUCAUUGGAUUAAUUUGGAAUUAAGUAGAAUCAAUUUAUCUCCAAUUACAUAACACCAGUCUGUCUACUGCAAGCAACUACAUUUACCAACACAUUUAAUAAAGAGUUAAACGAUUUCCAUGCUACGGGUAGAAUCGAACUCGCAUAGCCCCAUGUUGGGGCAGGAGAGUCGCAACACACGGAAUCCCUCAAGCUUCAAAGUCAUGGGCAUGAGCCGAAACCGAGCCAUCACAUUCAGGUAGACUUGGAUUAUCCUUCUGGAGAUUUCCUCAAUGAGCUCUUCACUUAAGUAGGCACAAUCAGUUUGCAUUUUGAAACUUAAGGUGGCCGUUUGGUUGGUCUUGUUGGUUAAAAGCAUGGGAGGAUGUAAUGACUUGGUAGUCACUAUAAAGCUGCCGCCAAGCCAACGAUCGUACAAGAAGAGCGUGGCCUGCAGACGAUCUCCAAUGUAGAGAUUGAAGCCGUGCUUGCUGUUGGGGUUUGUGACUACGAGCUUUAGCUCCAAUUUGACGGUACACUCGGGCCCGGCCGCGCUAAGUCGGGAAACGGUAACUAAUUCGACACUUACUUCCAAUGGUUUUGAAAAAGGAGAGUAAGCCCUAUAUCAGACGAGGAUGAAGACCACAAUAAGAGCAGCUACACUGCUCACGACUAGGACGGGCUGCUAGCUAUAAUAUGUCCUCAUUGUUGAAUAAAUAUUGAGAAUGAACACCGAUGGCUUCAUGAUGAUGAGUUAUGUGGACCAAUGGUUAUAAUUUGUCCUUUUUGAAAUAUGAUGUUUUCUUUACUUACAUUGGUUUUUUUGUAUUAGAUUAGUCACCGACGAAGUUUGAACCGCGCCUUUAUACAAAGGCUCAACUCAUUUUCACUACUGUGGUAAAAUGCUACUUGCCUCUACUUACAUUGGUUGAAAAGUUUAUAAUUCUUGUGAAUGCAUAUGAGAUGUGAUUUGUACAACCCUAUGCAAAAAAUAACGUUUUGUCUGAGAAAAUUAGUUAUAUUUUGUACAAACCUCAUGAAGAGUUGCGACCCUUCAUGUAAAGGUGAUAUCCAAACAAAGAAGAAAACGGUUUCUAUAUGGAAAGUAACAUUCCUUGCCUAGAAGACCAAGCCGUGCACAAUGCUUAGUUUUCUGCAUGCAUAUUGAUACUUUCAAUUCAUGGAAGCAAAUGGCAGAGUCAUCACGGGUUUGGUUGGAGGAUAGAAACACUCGGUUUGUUUAGCAUCUAUUGGUGAAAGAUGGCUUGAUAAUAUAUAUAUGUGUGUAUUUCAGAAAUUACAAUGUGUGGUUUUCCUAUUUCUAAGUAUGAUGAAAUAGUAUAUAAUGGCAUUAAAAAAAAAAAUUUGCUUCUGAAAAGAGAUAAAGAUUAUCUUUUACAAUGGUAAUUUUAAGAUAUUGAAAGGUUAGAAAUCUUCUGGCAAAUACCUUAAAGGUGGGGGAGUUUACCAAAGUGUUAGUAAACUACUUAGUAAUUAGGUUUGGAUAUAUAUGUUUGGAGGACUUAAACGUAAGAAAACAACUACUCGCAAACAAAAUCAAUUUUCAUGCAUGGAUGAAAUUUGUGAUGGUCAUAAAUUAAAUAGAUAGUCAACCUAGUGGAUCCAAUUAUUAAGGUUUGACUAGAGAGUAAGUUGUAUCAUCGAGGGGAAUGCGUUAAAAGCCCGUAUUUAGAGUAGUCAUAGUAGAAACCCAACCUAGUUGACUGGAGAUCCCAAGAUCUAGGUUUUAAAAGGACAACUAAAUUAUGACAACUCGGAGUAGCAUUGCGGAGAUAUAUUCUCUUUUUGCCCAUGCAAGACGAGUUGGAGUAUCGCUCGGAAAACCUCUAGAAACUUGCUCAAGUGGCUAAAUAGAUUACAAGGUCUUUAAUGUGUUAAGGAGGGAUGGAAUUCUAAUAACCUUUCCACUCGAUUCUCUUAACUUUUUACUUGAAUUUUCUCGUUUACCCUUUCAACUUUCUUCUUACUCAUGCUUAAUAAUCAAAACUAUGUAAUAUUUAGAUCACUAUGUAAACUUCAACUCUGCAAAGUUAACAAAAUUAGAAAUUAUUUAAGCAUCAAUUCACAUUGUCGAUAUUUUAAUUAGUUAAGUGAAGAACAUGAUUUGUCUAUUUUAUAAAUAACCGUUAGAUGACUACGUAAUUUUCAAUUUAGUUAUUUUUUUAUUUAUAAAUUGAUGAUCAUUAAGAGUAACUUAAAAAUAGAUAGUUUGGAUAUUGUGCAAUGUUACAAGAUAAAAGAAGAGUAAAAAGAGUAAGCUAAUUAGUUUUGACAUAUUAGCUAACCAAAUUAUAUAUACAUUGAAUAAACAAAUUUAGAGAUUGAGGCUUAUCUAUUAGAAGUUGUGAAAACAUAGGUGGUGGACACGGUUAGAACUAAGCUAAUUAGUUUUGACAUAUUAGCUAACCAAAUUAUAUUUCUAGCUAGUUGCUCCCUAUACAAUCAUCAGAUAGGUAAUACCAACCGAAUUGGUGUGCAACUGUUAAACGUUGCAAAAAGAAAAUAUAGAGAUUUGCCAAUCUCUGUCAAACACGGAGGCAUGUAUUAAUGUUGUAAUGGUAUCACACAGUACUAGGGUUUGCAGGUUGUAAAACACGGUGGUGCAUUUGGUGAGUUCUUCUGUUAUCCUGGUUGUCUUAGGAGUCAAGUUGCGGGAGCUAAGUCGGAGCUUUGCAGGUUUUGGAACUCUUGCAUACAUAUCGUCUCUGCCUCUGUGUGUGUGAUAGAGAGAGUUUAAGCUGUAUUUAUGAAAGCCAUGUAAAAAUAUGAAUUUUAAAGCUGCCUUCACCUUCACGUGAAAAGCAGCAAAACCUUGCUAAUUUCUUGAUAAUUUUUGUUUGGGAGAAAGGGAAGCUAGAAAGCGUUUUCUGUUUUUACUUCUUCUAUAAUGGGCAGCUGCAGAAGAAGGCAGCACAAGGGGAGGACUUGUACCGUUGUUUUGUCUUUCUCUAAUAAUAAAAACCAAAGGUAUCCAUGAUAAUUUAGUUGGUAGACUUUUUGUUCAUAAGCCAAAUAUAUAUCUCUAUAUAUACAAAAAGGCAUUUCAAAAGUUUUAAGGAGCCAAAAAUGACACAUGUGAACUACGACUAAUUGAUCGAGACAAUGUAUCUUUAUUCUCUUGCACUCAAGUUCGAACUCGUCCUAGUUGCUAAUUAAAGUAGUUUAUCGUAUCUAUAUAUUUAUCAAAAAAGAUAAUACUAGGGACACAAAAUUUGCAAAUUAAAUGAUGUGCCACUAAUACGUCUGACUGUGAUCUUAAAGCCCAAUGUGGAAACUCGGUGGCUUUUCUAUAAUGCACCAAAGUUUUCUAAUCCAUUAUGUCAUGUUUAUUUAAUAUUAGUUAGUCAUGUGCAUGCAUUACUUUGAUAUAUAAUUGCAUGAAUCAUUUCUUAUUUUUCUAUGUUAUUUAAUAUAGUAAUUAGAGCUAAACGGAGAGAAAGGCUGUGCCUUUGUACUUGAGGAGUUGGAGAAGGUGGUGGCCUUGGAUGGAGUGAGUGAGUUCGUUGAUAGAGAGAGAGAGAGGGAGAAAGGGCUUAAUGUGCCAGAUACUGAGGAGAGGAGGUUGCCUAUUGAGUCUAGACAAAAUUAUAGCAAGACAAAUUUUAAGCUACUACCUUAGUACCUAUACUAUGUAAAGGGAUCCUCUCCGGAUCCCUUUCACCUAAUUCUCCUCAUCAAACAAUUCAAACCCAUGAAAUUUGAUCAAACGGCUAAAAUUAUUAUAACUUUUAGAGUGAACCCUUGUUUGUAGCCGUUUAAAUAAAUUUCAAGGGUUUAGAUUGUUUGAUGAUGAGGAUUAGAUAGAAAGGAUCUGGAGAGAAUCUCUUUCCAUAGUAUAGGUACUAAGGUAGUAGCUUAAAAUUUGUCUUUGCUAUAAUUUUGUCCAGACUCAAUAGGCAACCUCUCUCCUUAGUAUCUGGCAUAUUAAGGCCCCUCUCUCUUUAUCAACGAACGCACUCACUCCAUCUAAGGCCACCACCUUCUCUGACUCCUCAGGUACAAAGGCAAAGCUUUUCUCUCCUUUUAGCUCUAAGUUGCUUGCUUACCUUUAAAACAUGUAUUCAUUUAUCUUCUUUUUUUUCUUUCAAGGUUUUACUUUCACACAGGGCAGCCACCACUAUCUCCGAUUCCGACUUCGACUCCUUAGGUACAUAGUAAAUGUGUUUAUUGUUCAUCGUUUGAUUCUUUAUGUUUGGACCCAAUGAUUUAUAUUAUCAACACAAAAUCAUGUAAUGGUUUACUCAAACUUGUUUUCUGGGUCCUUGGGUUAUAUAUAUAUAUAUAUGGAUGAGUUUGAUUGAAUAUUUUCUCAAUUUAUUUGUGAGUGUGUAAGUUAGAGACUCAGCACAAAAGUUCAUCCCCAAAUUCAAAAAAUCUUUAUUUUUUUUUUUAAUUAUUAGUAAAUGUUUUUUUUUAAAAUUAAAUAUAUAAAAGUGGGAGGCAGAAGGCAGUCUUUAGGCUUGUAAUUUUAAAUUAAAUAUAUAAAGUGCAAGGUAGAGAAGGUAGUGUGCAGUCGAAAAAUGCUUUUGUUUCUCAGCCACACGCAUUCACGACACCCUGCAGGCGGUGGAGGCCGACCUAGAGAGGAAAAGAAAUAACCCUUUUUUCUUUUGGUUUUUGAUCAUUCUCUGUUGUAUCGUUAUGUACUUGCUAGGUAUUUCAUGGAUAACCAAGGACAUGGUAAUUCGAUGCCACAGUUGAACGAUGGUAGAUGGGCUCGGUGCAUGUUGUGGUACUGUUUCUUGCUUUCACAUUUGGGUUGAUUGUUCACUUUAAUAAGCUAAGGGUACUGUUAAGAAGGGAUUCCCAAUACGGGUACCUCGAAAUGGUUCACAGUAUUAGUCGCAGUGGUUAUGGCAAAUCCAAGUAUGUGUACCAUUGAUACAAUCAUAGGUAAGCUCAUAUCUUGGAUUGUUUCCAAGAGUAGAUUUUAUCAAAGGCCUAGGCAGCAUCAGAUCGGUUUGGCAACAUUUUGUAUAUUUCUCCUAGUGGUAAUCAUAGGGCUUGCAGUAAUACGCCUACGGGAGGCGAAGCAGACGACUUCAAAUAACAAGAAUGCAAAAAAUAUGAAUUAUGCAGAGGUAUAUUACUUUAACGUUAUAUUGUUGAUGACGAUUAGGUACAAUGAUUUUGCGUUCAAGUCUACCGAUGGACAACUUUUCGCUUCGUUUUAUCUGCUAAUUGGACCAUUGCUGGUCGUCUGAUAUUUGAACUUCGUAGUUGGCUCUUUUCUCCAACAGUGGACGGGGUAAUUAAAUUUACUUUAUUUUCGAUACCUAUUGUUAUGUUUGUGUGACUCUUUGAAGUAAAACUUAUAUUAUGUUUGUGUGACUCUUUGAAGUAAAACUUAUAUUUUUUCUUGAUAUGUAGACCAAAUUUAGAACAAUAGUUAUAUGACGCCAGGGCAGCUAUAGUAGUUGAUCAAGCUCUUCCCUAGCGUCGUAUAACUGGUGUUCUAAGUUUGGUCUGCAUAUCAAGAAAAAUUAUAAACUUAAUUCAAAGAGUCACAGAAACAUAACAUAAGGUAUAUGUAAAUAAAGUAAAUGUAAUUACCCUGUCCACUGUCCAAGAAAAGAGCCAACUAGGAAGUCCAAAUAUCGGACCACCAGUAGUGGUCCAAUUAGCAGAUGAAACGAAGCGAAAAGCUGUCCACUGGUACACUUGAACGCAAAUUCGCCGUACCCAACCGUCAUCAACAAUAUAACAUUAAAGUAAUAUACAUCUGCAUAAUUCAUAUUUUUUGUAUUCUUAUUAUUUGCAGUUGUCUACUUCGCCUUCAAUAGGCGUAUUACUGCAGGCCCUAUGAUUACCACGAGGAGAAACAUACAAAAUGUUGCCGAACCAAUUUGAUGAUGCCUAGGCCUCUGAUAAAAUAUACUCUUGGAAACAAUCCAAGAUAUGAGCUUACCUAUGAUUUUAUCAAUGGUACACAUACUUGGAUUUGCCAGAACCACUACGACUAAUACUGUGAACCAUUUCUAUGUACCGUGUUGGGAACGUAGUCUCCAUAUCCUACAAUUGUUAUAGUAACAACCGUAAAAUACAGAGCCUCUACGAAUCCCUUCUUAACACUACCCUCAGCCUGAUUAAGGUGAAUACUCAUCCCAAAUGUGAAUGCAAGAACUAAUACCAUAGCACGCCCAUACACCACAGUUUUGCUGUGGCAUCGGCUGCCAGAUUACCCCAUCCUUGGUUAUCCAUGGAAAACCUAGUAAGACAUCACGAUACAACAGAAUGAUAAAAAACCAAAAAAAAAAAGGUUGUUUCUUUUCCUCCCUAGGUCGACCUCUACUGGAGUGUGGUGGAUGCAUGUGGAGGUGUGGUUGAGAAACAAAAGCAUUUUUCGCCUACACACUGCCUUUCACUUUUACACAUAUUUUUUUUUUGUUGACAAACUAGCAAUUACUAGUCUCGUAUGGAAGUUGAUUUCUGUAGGUUGAAUUGGAAAUGUUGGCAUAGCAAUGCUGCGGUUUGUUGUUCUUUUGUUUAGUGGCCAAAAAUUAAGCAAUUUUGUUUAGUGGCUAAGAAUUCAGUAGUGUUAUGUUAUUUAGUGGAUAAAAAUUCAGCGGUUGUAAUUUCUAAACAAGUCGUCGUACCCAGUGCACAAGGCUCCCGCUUUACGCUGGGUCUGGGAGAGGUGAAUGUCGGCUAGCCUUACCCCCAUUUAUGGAAAGGUGAAUUUAGAAUAAGUUAUAUAAUGACUUUUAACUCAUUUUAUAUUGGUGUGACGAGUUUCAAUUACUUUUCAACUAACAAUACAGAAAGAAAAGUUACAUUAAAUCUAUCAACUUCAGAACCCUGUCUAUAUAUAACUCGGAAGCCCUGGGGACCCAAAACCCAGAAAACAAGUUAAGACUAAGAGCAACCCAUAAAUCAUUGGGUCCAAACCAACUUGAAUUUUCAUAGAUCAUUGUGGAAAGUAAAUAAUUUUGAAUAAACCAUUAAAUAAUCUUGUUUAUCUUGAAUGAGUGCAUAUGGUAAACCCAAAGUCAUCCAAACCUCAUAAAGCUCAUCAUCCCAACCGUCCAUUAUGCAAACCAAAAGAUUGACAAAAAAACCCAUAAAGCAAAGAAAACGAUGAACGAUGAACGAGAAACAAUAAACAUAUUUAUAAUGUACCUGAGGAGUCGAAGACAAAGUCGGAGAUAGUGGUGGCUACCGUCUGUGAAGGUAAAACCUUGAAAAAAAAAAGGUUAGUUAGUAUGGGCUUUAAAGGUAAGCAAGCAACUUUGAGCUAAAAAAGGGGAGAAAAAGGCUUUACGUUUGUACCUGAGAAGUCGGAGAAGGUGGACGCAGGUGGAGUGAGUGCAUCCGUUUGAAGGAGUUAAGGAUUGGAGCAACUACGUUUGUGUGAACAAGGAACGGAAAUACUAUGCUGGAUGAAGAUUUGAGUGCUUAUUAAUAAGCUGGAGGAUCCAUGCUCGUUUCAAAGGCAGACAUGGAAGUUUGGACAAAGUUAUAAUAAAACAAACUUCAAGCUGCAGUAACUGCACUAUCAUCAUCCAAAGGCCAAACUCUAAUGCAAAAAUGAAAAACAAUCAAUGUUUUUUCACAUUGUAAAAACUCAAGAUUUAAAAACAAUGAAGAAGGAUUUAGAGUUAGUUUGAAUUUGAUGUAUGAAUUAGAAUGGAUGUAGUCUUUAUAUGGACAAAAAAAAAAAUAUGAGGUUCUGGAUAAUGUCACGUGUCAUUACGUGAUCGGUUGAAAAUCUUAUCGAAAUCUUAGCUAAAUUAUUGUAAACAGAUAGUAACACGUGGCUUAUCGGGAUUGGUUGAAAAUCUUAUCCCUCCGCAAAAUAGUACUUUCGGAUAAUAACACGUGGCGUGAUAAGAUUGGUUGAAAAUCUUAUCGAAAUCUUGACUAAAUUAUUGUAAACAAAUAGUGACACGUGGCGCGUCGGGAUUGUUUGAAAAUUUUAUCGGAAAUCUAUAUACAAAAUAGUACUUUUGGAUAAUGACAUGUGACGUGAUAAAAUUGGUUAAAAAUCAUAUCCAAAUUUUUUUAUUUUUUAUUUUAUAAAAAAAUUAAUAAUAUUUUAAUACGAAUUGACUAGACUUUAUGUCAACGCAUUCAUUAGGGGUAGACAUGUAUUUAGUUAAUUACAGUUCAUUAGAUCAAUUACUAUUCAUUUAAGUGAAUUAAAUGAACCGGAUGUUAGCACAUUUUUAAGGAUGAACUUGCUGUUAGUGUCCUCCAUGCCCGGAUCUUCUAUCACAACACAUAAGGUAUUUAUGUCACUUUGAUAUGUGGUGAAAUUUAAAAAAAAAAAUGAAAAAACUGAAGAGGGAAUUACUAUUUACAGUUGUGUCGACAUGACAACUCAAUUCCAGCAGUGCCCAACAUGGCAACUCAAUCCCAACGGUACCAGCGCCAACUCUUCUACAGCUAUUACUACUAGCCUUCCACGUUGCCGAAUGCUUUCAUUAUAUUCCCAGCCUACCUAGUUUUGGUCUUCGUUUUGACAGAUUCUCCUUUUAACUUAAUUCUAAUAACUUUAUCUCACUAAAAUCAUCUCCAAAAAUAUUUAAAAAAAAACUAACUUAAAAAAUUUAGAUUGUAACUUAAAAAUAGUUUUUUCUGCUUUGUAUUAAGUAAACCUUGAAAUAAAAAAGAAUGUGAAUGUGUAUGAGUUUUGAAUUAGAAAGUGGAGAGAAAGACGUUGUAUUUGUACAUGAGAAGCUCGAAGAAAAUAAACAUAUGUUGAUUCACACAAAAUAAAAGGUUUUACCUAUUUCAUUUUCCCUAAAACCACCAAAGCCAAAAUUGUGUGACAAGCAAUUUGAGGGUCUUCAUCGUCAUCCGAUUCAGUUGGGGACUCCAUUCCGGAGGUAGUAACAAUCUGUUAAAUGAAAAACAAUAGGAAAAUUUUAGUAUUCCCGAGUAGGGCAGCAACACUGAGUUUUUUUUUGCUCCAAGCAGCACAUUAUAAGUAGAACAAGUUGAGAAUUUUCCAUACCUUAAAUCAGAGCAUAUAUUGUAUUGUGUUCCCUUUCCCUUUCCUACUUUGUAUUUUAUUUUCUCUCACGAACUUUUUUCACACCUACACAAACAAAGUAAGCAGGAGUUGUUCUCGGAUAGAUUUUUCUCCCACCCACAAACUAUAUUCUUUUAUCUUUAUAAAACAAACAAGCAGCAGGAGAAGAACAAGAGGAGGGUUAGGUUUUGAAAAGUGUCAAUUCUCAUGUGAUUAUAUAAUGGGAUUGUGCGGGGAGGGAAAGAGAACAUAGUACAAUAGUAGUUGGGAUUAGUACAAUAGUAGUUGGGAUUAUUAAUUUCGAUCGGAUCUGAAAAUAGUAGUUGGGAUUCUUUACUCCACGAAUAAAAUCAUCAACGUAAUUCGAAGGGACGAGGAUUCUCUUCCCUCCUUAUCUUUCUCCUCAUCCAUCUCCUCCUACUUGAACAGUUACGGUUAAACUAUGUCAACAUCUUAUUUUGAUUUUUUUUAUAAAGACAAUAAGACAAAAAACAAUUUGUGAGAACAUGGGAGGUAAGAGGAUGAAAAUAGGAGGAGAAAAAAAUCUACUCCAAUUCGAAGACAAGAACCGCAUGAAAGAUAAAAGCAUAACCUGGAUCAGAGGCAGUGCCUGCAUGAUAAUAACCACAUGCUCAGGCUCAGCUAUAUAAUCAAACCAUGGCUCAUAGUCAUAGGGAUUCUUGCACAGUCAGCUGCUAGGGUUAGGGUUAGGGUUUCUCUAUUCUUUUGUAAGUAAUUACUAUCCUUUAGCUUUUUUUUUUUUUUUUUUUUUUUUGGUGAAAGUACUAUCCUUAAAAAUCUGUAUAAGUUGUUGAGGCAAGCUAUUAUCCAAGUAAUAUAGACAACACAAAGAAUAUAAGCUUUCAUAUAGUGAUAAUUCAUCGUGGUUAACAUGUAAAUGAUAAUUAUAUGAGUAACUAAAAUAAAAAAAAAUAAAAAAAACCUUUAGCUUUGAGUUCAUUAUGUCAUGUUAGACAUACCUCUUUUCUUUUGUUCUACUCUCCGCUGAAGUUUAAAAGGUGAAACUGGAGAAUGAUUUUGCAAUGUGAAGCACAAAUCGGAUCUUGGUGUAGGCUUUCAAGACUAGUGUGGAAACAUAAAAACGUACAUGAUUAGAAUGUGGCUAAUAUGGUGUGUUUAUGUUUCCAUUAUAUGGACCAUUGAUUGAGGUUGCACCACCUAUUACCUACACUAUCAUCCAAGGCCAAACUCUUUCUGCAAAAAUGAAAAACAGCUGAUGAUUUUCCACAUUCGUAUGAACCGGCGGUCCUUUAAUAUCCUCCAUGCAUGAACCUUGCUCGACCACACAAAAGGAAGGUUGGUUGCUUGUAAUUGUAAGGCAACUUUAAGAGUAUUUAUGUCACACUGAUAUAUGUUGAAAUCCAAAAAUGAAAAUACCAAACAACAACUAAAUCUUAUCUCACUAAGUGGGAUCGGCUGUAUGAAUCCUAUAAUGUAACUGAGCACGACUUUGCAUCAAGUCUUCUGUUAGCUCAAAGUAUUCCAUAUCUUUUCUUAUAGUCUAUUUCCUAGGUCUUUAUCUACCCAUUUUGUCUUGAGUCUCCUUCUCAUAGUCACAAUUUCUAACUGGAGCAUCUGAAGGUUUUCAGUUCACGUGCCCAAAUCAUUUUAACUAAUUUCCUCCCAUCUUAUCUUCAAUUCAGGUCACUCCUAUUUUACCUCAAAUAUCUUAAUCCUAUCAUUUCUCAUGUGCCUACACAUCCAUCGAGAACCAUGAUGUGCACCCAUCAUAUAUGAAGUCUUAGACUAAGCACAUCAAUGAUUCUGAAAGUAUUAGAGAAGUGUGACUGGAUUACUGGAAGAUAGAUACAUAAAUUAGACUGAGGAGGUGUGUUAGUGGAUGCGUUGGAUGUGGGCUAACAAAAGUACAAAUAUACGAUAACACUUGACUGCACUGUAUAUAUAUCCAUGUCUGUGCAUGUGUAUUUAAUGGCAGUGCCAGUGGUAGAAGUUCUACUUUCUACAUCUUUAUAACUUUAUUCAAUUUUAUAAGGUGAUUUUAGUUCCUCCUUGUGAUUUUAGUUCCUAUUUUUUUAACGGCUUUUUAUUGCAUACUCGUCACGCAUGUAGUAUGCCCAUAUGCCAAUUAGGAAUGCAAGAAUCACUAUCACAAAUUGCAGCCCAAGCCAACACCGUGGUUGGUCUGCGCCAUUGGCUGCUGAAUUACCACCUCCUUGGUUAUCCAUCAAAAGCCUAGCAGGUCAUUUAACAACAAAGAUUAAUUAUAUCUUGAUUGAUCUUAUGAUCGAAACAUUACUUUAGUCUAAAGAAGGGUUUUCAAUUGCACUGUUCAAAUGAACAGUUGUUUUGGACCGAAUUUCACUUUAUUUACAAAAUUGCCACCGCUUUGCACAAUGGAAGAGCGCCCACUCGUCAAUCAUCGUGGAUUGCUCAGCUUCGACUAUUUAUCCGUCUGUUUCCAUCCCCUUUUUCAUUCCCUCUUUUUCUCCCCGACUCUCUGUAAACAUCCAUCAAAUCCCCCCAUCCCUCCCUUUUCUCACUCUCUAAUUUCCCUAAGAUCGCUCACCCAUUCUCAGUCUCGCCAGCCGCGAACCCCUUGACAGCUUGCAACUCCAUGCUCCGCCUCCAGAUUCGUCGCAUAUACCAGCUGAGACCGUCAUCAUAUGAACAAAUCCAUGAUCAGAAAUCAGAUAGGAGAGCCCCAAGACCGUCGCCUGCACUACCGUCUCAGAAAAGUGAGCCAAAAUCUAUCGAGAUCCAAGAAGGUAAAUGUGUACGCUUUCGAGCUAGAAAGCGGAGAGAAAGGCGUUGUCUUUGUACAUGAGGAAUCGAAGAAAAUAAACAUGUUGAUCCACACAAAAUAAAUGGUUUUACCUCUUUCAUUUUUCCCUGAAACCACCAAAGCCAAAAUGUCUUCAUUGUCAUCCAAUUCGGUUGGGAGCUAAUUGCGCAUCAGUUACUGUAUUUAUUAAAGCCAAUGGUCCCAAUGACUCUACUCAAAUUCACAAGUUCAAUAAUAUGAUCACGGUUUUAUGAUUUUUUUUAUCCGUAUAGUUUGUUCAAACGUUACAUUUCCUCUCGUUCGUAUUAGUUAGAAAAAUCAGUAUCGCUUAUAUUUUCCAAACAGGCUAGUAGUUAAAAAUACAUGAAGAAUCUCUGAAGCUGAUAGUACUCAGUCAUACUAAUAAAAUGACUUAAAAGUUGAUAAAUUCUUAUUUAGAAAUUCUAAGCUGUUAAAUUCUUGGCCACUAAACAAAACUAAUUAAUGAAUUCUUGGACACUAAACAAAACUAAUUAAUGAAUUCUUGACUAGAAAACAAAAAUAAUUGGCUAUUAUACAAAAAACAGUGAUAUUAUAUAUCAUGGAGAAUUUGGUUAACAACUGUACCUUCUUGCCCCCUUCAUUGAAUCAAACACAAGAAAAAAAAUUAAGUCCCAAAUGUAUUAUAAUAAAUUGUUGUAAACUACCUAAAGCGGAUGGAUGAUGUCGUUAAUUAGCGGUAUUUCAUUCCUGAAUAGAGUGAAUGACGCUUGAGUGUUAUUGAAGUCUUGAAGCCAAUUUUGAAUUUCAUCAACAACAUUCUCUAAUUCCCUUUCGAAGUUUUCCACCAAUAAUAUCAUUCUUUGUCUUCUCUUUGUACUCAUAUGAUCUCUCUUCAAUCCCAAGGUGGUUCUUGUAUGAUACCAUUGCUUAGUCAAGUUUAGGCUGCAUAUAUAAUAAAAUUCACUUAUAAAAUAAACAAAAAUAGAUAAUAUGAAAUAUAUGUGUUCAUAAAAUUAAUUAAUUACCUGAUCCUCCAAUGUUGCCAUGAGAUAUUCAAGAAUUUGAUAUAGCAAGACACAUGAUGCGGUAAACACAUAGAAUGAAGCGAAAACUUUGGAGGACGUGAAAGAAAAAUCCACGUAGCCAAUGGUCAUUAUAUUAAAGUACCACAUAUCUAAAUUGUAGAACUUCUUACCCUCCAAUAUAGGAUGUUAAUUAGCAACAAAAGCAACAAAAUUGUUGCAGAAACAAUCUGAAUAUAGCUAUUGCUUUGGUUAAACCCCGUCCAUUACGUCGCUUGAAAUAGAAGCCAACCAAUGGCUGCAUUGAUGAUAGUUGUAGCCCCAGGCGCAAAAAAAAAAAUCAUGAAGUAGUGAUGUGAUCAACAUCGAAAUAACCGUGUAUUUCGAUAUUGAUCACAUCACUACUUACGAUUUUUUUUUGCGCCUAGGGCUACAAUUGCCAUCAAUGCAAUCAUUGUUUUGCUUAUAUUUUGAGCAACUCGAAUGGAUGAGGUUUAACCACAAAACUAGCUAUUUUUAGAUUGUUUCUGCAACAAUUAUGUUGCUUUAUUUGCUGAUAUCUAUAUUGGAGGGUAAGAAGUUCCACAAUUUAGAUGUGUAGUACUUUAAUAUAAUCACUGUAAUGGUGUUGGCUACAAGGAUUUUUCUUUCAUAUCCCCCGAAGGUUAAGUUCUUGUUUCAUUCUAUGUGUUUAUCACAUCGCGUGGCUCACCAUAUCAACUUCUUGAAUAGCUCAUGGCAACACUGGAGAAUCAGGUAAUUAAUUAAUUUUAUGAGCACAUAUAUUUUAUGUUAUCUAUUUUUGUUUGUCUUAUAACUGAAUUUUAUUAUUUAUGCAAUCUAAACUUGACUGGGCAACAAUAUCAUACAAAAACCACUUUGGGAUUGGAGAGAGCUCAUGAAAUGACUACAAAGAGAAGACAAAGAGUGAUAUUAUUGGUGGAAAACUCCGAAAGGGAAUUAGAGAAUGUUGCUGAUGAAAUUCAAAAUACAAUAGCACGACUAUAAGAUUGGCUUCAAGUCUUCAAUAACACUCUAGCAAAACAUCGAGCGUGAUUCACUCUUUUCAGGAAUGAAAUACCGCUAAGUAACGACAUCAUCCAUCCACUUUAGGUAGUUUAUAACAAUUUAUUAUAAUACAUUUGGCAUUUGGGAUUUAAUUUAAUUUUCUUGUGUUUGAUUCUAAUGACUUUAUCUCACUAAAAUCAUCUCUAAUUUUUGAAUUAAAAUUUAAAAAUUUAGGUUGUUAUUUAAAAAUAGUUUUUCUAUUUCAACCUUUCUAGAUUAAUUUUUUAGUCUGAGAUUAUAAAAUAAUGAAUUUAGGCUAUUUUUUUUAAAGUAACUUAAAAAAAAGGAGAAAUUAGGUUUUCAUCCCUCAUUUUGCUAUUCCAUUGAUUAAAACCUUAUUCUUUUUCAAUUUUUGAUCAAGGUCCUUGGAUAUUAAUAACAUCAUUAAUUAUUUCAAUAAUAAAAUAUUUUUUAUUUCUAAAUAUAUUCAUGUAGUGUUAAAAAUGUUACAAUUAAUAUAUUUAUAUUUAUGGCUAAAUUUUUUAUCAUAUAUUUUUAUUUUUAGUUUGUACCCAUUUUUAAUUUGCAACCCUUUUUUAAUUUGUACCAAUUUUCUUUUCAGUUUUAAUUUGUACCCAUAUAUUAAUUUCUUUUUGUGCCAUAUUUUUUAAAGUUUUAUUUGUAUUUGUACCCAUGCUAAUUAUAUGUAUCCAUUCAUAUAAUUUUUUCAAAAUUUUAUUAAAAUUUACUCAUUCUUAAAUAUACCAAUUUAUUAUAUGUAAAAUGUAAAUUUUAUUUUAUAUAAAAUCUAUUCAAUUUUUAAACUUAUAUGGGUACAUUAUUUUUUCUUGAUUUGAAAAUGUAUCCAUGUCAAGUUUAAUUGAAGAAAUUUACUAAUGUUAUUAAGCCUAAUAUUUUUUUUUGUGAUUUUGAAGAAUGUACCUAUGUUUUGGUAAUAAUUUUUUGGUUAAUGUACCCAUGUUUACACAUACACACACAAUAGUAUAUUUAUAUUUUAAUCCCACAAAUUAUGGUUUUUUAUUUAAAAUCUCAUUAAUAUAAACAACUAUAACUUUCAAUUUUUAAUUUAAAAAAAUAGUAACAUACAUAGAAAUAAAUUAUCACAUUAAUUUCAAGGACUUCGAUUAAAAAUUGAAAAUCAACAAGGUAUUCAUAACUAGGGACCGCAUCCAAAGUCUCCCAAAAAAAAAUUAUGUAGAUUAUUUUAAUUUAAUUUUAUGUACAUUUUAAUCUAUAAAUAUUUACAUUCCGAUAAAUAUUAAAAAAUUGUUAAACUGACACAAUCAAACUCAUGGUACACUAUGAAAAAAAGAUGAAACACAUGAUAAAGAGGUAUAACACACGAAACAUAUGAAAAUUAGCCAUAGAAUUUAAUUUUAGAUCUUUAUAUACAUCUUUUUUUUUUUUUACCUCUAGAUUAGAUUAUAAUAGAUUAGAUCAUAUUAAACUCAUGGUACACUAUGAAAAGAAUAUGAAACACAUGAAAAUAUAUGAUAGAUUAGAUCAUAUUAAACUCACCCUCUACCCCUUGUGCUGCCUUCUGUUCUGCUGCUGCCAUCACAGAAGAAGGAAAACAGAAAAGGCUUUCUAGCUUCCCUUUCUUCCAAACUUUUUUAUUUUUUAUUUUUUAUUUUAUGAAACAAAAAUUAUGAAGAAAUUGGCAAGUUUUUGCUGCUUUUGUCUCAUAAACGCGAAGGCAUCUAUAAAUUCAUAUUUUUAAUCGCCAAUAUAUUAUGAGAAUCAUGUAAUGGUUUUUGAAUAAAAAAAUUAUGAGUAUUGAUCAAUAAACUUAAUACAAGUUUAUAAUAUGGAGUAAUAAAAGUUCUAAUCAAAAUGUAUCUUACUCCACAUAAUGAAUUCAGAAACUAAGACUCACUUUUUAAUUCAAGAUCAAAGCUCCAAGAAUCAGCGGGCGGUGCCUGCGUCUGGCGGGGACUUGGAAACUCGCUGGUCCCUGCCACCUGCUCCUUUUGUAAAAAUAAAUGUGGAUGCAGUUGGGUUGAGUCUUCACGUUCGGGGUUUGUGGGUUUGGUGGCGCGGGAUAGUACAGGGAAGUUUUUGGCUGCUAGUGGGCAGGCUAUUGCGGCUUUGUGUGUUAGUCAAGCUGAGGCCUUGGCUCUUUUGCUUGGUUGUGAACUGGGUAUCUCACAAGGGUUUAGUUGUAUAAUUCUUGAAUCGAAUUUGUUGGAAUCGGUUUCUUGUUUGAAUGGCAGUUGGAGGGCGUAUCCCAUUUUGGCAAGUCCAGAAGUAUCGGGAUUCCUUUCAGGAUUGCCGCUGAUCUUGGAGACCUAGAUCAGUCAACAAGGCUGCAGAUUUGUUAGCGUCGCAGAAGUCUAAGAAGAUGGACGAUGUUUUGUGGGUUGACCGACCCCCAUCCUCCUUGGUUUUCGUCUUAAACUUCGAUGGAUUGCCUUGUCCCCAUUAGGUGUUCUUGGCUUUGCGGGGAGUGACGCUUUGGCUUCUAGUGCCGCGUCAGUCUUUCUUGUAGCUUCCUGCAAAGUUUGUUUCCAGUGUUCUGUUGAUGUUUGCCUGGUUUGGCCUUCUGUUUGUGUUGCUUCUUAGCCCUGGGAUUGUUUUUCCAGUGUUCCAAAAAAAAAAAAAAAAAAACUCCCAUAAAAGAUUGACAUGACAUGUUUGGGAGUCUGGUGACUUGUCUCCCCUAUGCUGUGCAUGCAGAGUUCAUUAUAAAAAAUUAAAAAGAAAAAAAGAAAAAAAAAAGAAAUUAUGUUCUCAAUCUUUUUUUUAGGGAUGUGAUAUCCACACACUCUAUUUUACUUCUCACACACCUUUUUAAUUUUUGGCCGUCGGAUCGGAUGAAUUGAAAAAGAUCAACGAACAGAAAUCAUCCAGGGGUGUGUGAGAAGUAAAAUGGGGUGUGUGGAUAGCACACCCCUUUUUUUAUUGCAUUGAUUAAAAUUUUAAUUUUUUUAAUUUUUUAUCAAAGUUUACUUUUAAUGAAUGUCAUUAUUUUAAUUAUAAAUUAUUUACAUACCAGCAUAAUGGAAAUCUUUAAAGAAAUAUAUUUCCAUUUUUCUAAUAAAAAUGAGAAUUAGUUGUGAGGUUUAUACUAUAUCGAAUUUUAACGAUCCAAACAAUCUAUUUUUCAAGUUACAUCUCAUAGAUCAUCCUUGCAAAAUAUUAGCCGAAUAAAAAAUAUUUAAGAUAUCUAAUUGGGUUCAAAGAAAUUAAUGAAUACUUUGUUAUAUUAGAAAUAAUGAAAUUUUAUUUUGAUAAUUAAAUAAGCAAAUAGUUUAUGAUUAAAUUAAAUUUUUGUAAAGAUGAUCUAUGAAUUGAAACUUACAAAAUAGACAAAUAUAUAUAGAAUGAGUAGAUAAAAAUAUAUAUAUAGAAGCCUAAGCUCUUCCGCCCCCUCCGACUUGAAACUAAAUAAUCGUCGUAACCCACUGUCAUUAGUGAGAUGAUGUUCGAGUACAAAAUAUCGUUGUCCUCAUUUUUUCUUCGGUAAUGCAUUAGGUUUCCUCAAAUAUGCACGUGGCUCAGACUUCUGAUGCUUAAAAAAAUGCACUAAGGAAUGCAACAUAAAUAGACGCCAGUCGAUAACUCUCUCCACAACACGUAUAAUUAUGCUUGAGUAUACCAGAACCAUGCACGUCACGAACUCUGAUGAAUUGGUGUUGGGCGUCAAAUCACCGAAUCUCAUUAUUGUUAUGGUAUUGUAUGGUAGGAGACAUCUAUACGAUGCUUUCAACUCACAUUGGAGUUUGGAGGGGCGGAAGAUCGUAAAAAAUGGCUUUACUAAAUAAAGGCAAUAGUCACUGUCAUGAGCGGAAAAUGAUCAUUGCCCGAUCAAUUUUUCUGGAAAUUUUAUGAAUUCCGUGAUUGAAAUCGUUCAUCGUAUAUCAUGCGGUCAAUUUUCAUUAGAUACUAUUUAUAUUUAAUUUUAAAAUGAUUUAUAACCACACGAUAUACGAUGGACAAUCUCGAUCAUAGAAUCUCCAGAAAAAGGACGGGUCCUUUUCCAGUCAUAAGCAACCACAAAGAUCCCGAAUUGGCUACCAUACUUGCGCAUCGUUAUUGAUACGUAAGAAAGCGUAGCAAUAUAUUAGAGAAAUCACAUGAAAAUGAUCAUGACAGAAAGACUCGGUCCAUAAAAUAAAAUUAAAAAGUGACCUAGGUUCGAUAAGUAGAAGAUAGAUGCAAUAGCUUUUCCAGUAUCUUAAAAAUUGAAAUCACUGUACUCGACAAUUAUCAAUGAGAUGACAUUAAAAUAGUAGACAUCACCCUUUCCCAUUCUCUUAUUCUGACUGAGCCCGUCGUAUGUUUUUCCUCGAAUUACUGUGUGAAUACGCCUGAAAAAAAACAACCACGGAUUGCAACAUGAUAUGGGAAGACCUAUCACAUUCAUUAUUAAAAUUCAUCACACAAAGCCAGAUUUACAAAAAAAAAAAAAAAACACAAAUGUUGGGAUUUAUUGAUGAUUUGCCACAAAAGAAAGUUGCUUGGCAAUGGCAUUGCUAGCACGUAGACGUGUUUUACAUGAUUGGACAUUGUUGGAAGCAGUGUGGUGAAUAUGAAAGAUUCAAGUAAAUUCGGGUAUAAAUUUGAAAAAAAAUAAAUAAAAGUUGAGGACCAAAUGUUAAUUAAUCAAAGAUCCAACUGAUCACCAAGUCUGUAAUGUAAAUAGGCAGUUAACAAAUAUUCUAGCCAAAAGUAAUAGGAAUUAGACCUAAGAUGAUUCCAAAUAGAAAAACUUUAGUCAUUUCAGUUUGUUUGAAAGGGAGAAGGGAGAGGUAAUAUUUUGUUGUAUCUAAAAACCUUUAUUUAUUUAUUUUUUUUUUUUUUUUUUUUUUAACACAAAGAGAUAAAAGAAGUCAUUGCAAUUGCCGGAAAUACUAAGCCCACUAAACGCAAUAAUUUAUAAUUUAGGCAUAUAUUUCUUUCUCAAUCCUAAUCCAUUAGGUUUCAAAUCAAUAAUUAACGAGAAUGAACACCCAACAAACACAUGCCCGUGCCUCUUAAUAUUACGGUCUAGUGGUGUUUCUCUUCACUUGUAAGUGAGAGGUCUUAGAUUCGAUUAUCGCCAAAGACGAAUUAGAACCAUAUUGCUAGCUCAUUGUAAGGUUUAACUUAGUCCUCCAUUCCUAUUAAUAUUAGAUAAUAUAUCAUUUGUUAAAAUUUAAAAAAAAAUCCCCUACCCCUCCAAAUCAAUAUUAACCACCAACCUGUACCUUAUGAGGCCUGAGAGGGGUUGUAGCGCAACGAUUCGUGGCGAUUGUCUAGGAUAUUGCAUGCAAUGGCCUUGAUCUUGUGGUAUUACAAACUACCUCUAGAAGAUUGAAAGUCAGAGUGGAGUCAGCCACCAUUUCCCAGCUCAACAUGACGAGUUUCGAGUUAACCAUUGAGUGGGAGCUGAUGCUCAUAGUCACAAUAAACCCGAAUGACAAGAACGGCAUCGACGUCUAUUUCCGUGAUCGUUUUCUUGCCACGCUCUUGUACUAUGACAACUUGAUGGUGGCGACCAAGUCAUUGCCUCCUCACUUCCCUUAAAUAAAGAGACAAACCAAACAGUCACUUUGAGUUUCGAAAUGGGAGCAGAAAUAGCAUACUUAUGCAAGACCUGAUCAAGGAAAUCUCCGGCGGAACAUCUGGAUUGGCGUCAUGGUAUUGGCUCAGUAUAUGUUCAUCCCUGCGGCUUGGUAAACUGAGGGAUUGAAUAUGUUGCAAGUCUCCUGAGGUUAUGCAAGACAAAGUCUAGCCAUAGAAGGGACAUUGUUUGACUCUUAAUUGAAUGUGUUGAUAAAUGUAAUUACAAUGGACUAGUGUUAUGUAAUUAUUGAUUGUCUUAACUUCAAAUUAAUCUUGUGAUUUUUUUUUUCUUCCAUCACAUUACUGAUAUCAAAUGUAAUUCAGUAUUACAUACAUUGUUGUUGAGACAUGUAAGGUUUGGGCUCAAAUGCCUUGAGAGGGGGUUGCUCAUUGGUAACCGGUAGAAUUAGGCAAAGGAUAAUGCUAGAGAGACUAAAUUUGUGGACAAAAUUUUGUAAACUAAAUAACAUGGAAGUUAACGAUUUGAUUAUUACUUAAGUGUUGAUUAACGUGCUUAUUUUUUAUUUGUGACAUAUCAUUUAGUUUAUCAACACUACUCUUACGAAAAUAUUAUGCAACUUUAGCCAUAACCAUGCUCAAAUCUUUCCAAUAGUUUUUUUGUCGUUGUAAUGUUAUAGUUGAUGAUUUUUUUAUAUCAACUAUAGUUGACGACUAGAAAGUACUACCCGCGCGUUGCUGCGGGAUUAGAAAAUGCAUGAAAGAUUAUGUUUAAAAUAUAACAAAGGUUGUGUUGUAGUAAAUUGUUUCAAUUUAGGUACAAUGAAUUGAAACUUUGAAUAAUCACACCCAAUGUUGUGAAGAAAGGUUUUGUCUGGAAUAACACUGAUUUUAUAUCUGCACUGCAGUUCCGGCUAGAAUACGAAUAAAUUUACAAAAUGAUUUGCUUAUUUUGGUAAGAGAUUUAACAAAUCAGGUAUAAUUUAUGACAGUAAAUGCAAGAACGGAUAAAACACUCUAAAUAACUAUAAGUUUUACAGAAAAGCUUUUCAAUCCAAUAUCAUCCAAAACUAUGUGUUCUGAAACGAAAAACAGAAGCCAAUCAUAUAUAGCCAAAAUUACAAUGAAAGAUUUCAUAUUUUUCUAGAUAAGUCGUAUUCCCUUUCAUUAUGUAUGAUAACAUUGAAGGUUAUAGCAUGCCAAUUCCACAUUGAAAGUUUGUAUAGCUUUAUUUUACAGAAUAUCAAGAGGCAAACCUGCAGAGCCGCUGAACAUGCUCCAAGGUCCCAAACUUUGAAGUUCUUAAUAGCAAUCUUUUUCAUGGCUUGGUAGCUCAUAUAGCAUGACAUCGCCCAUGUUUGUUCCAACUGAAAUCAUAAAAUCGCUUAUUACUAAAAGAGAAGUAUUAUCCAACAUUUGAAACAAUGACAUAAAAAAGACAUACAAAUACAAUAAUUCACAAUGAGUGGAAUUGGAGGUCAGCUCUCUAGAGCUUACCAAGAAGAAAAAUUUGUUGCAUUGGGUGGAAAUCCAUACUCUUGACAGUUGAACCUGGACGUAAAGUCAUAACAACAGACUUGGGCAAGUCAUUAGAAGAGUAGGAACUCUGACCAUGGCUCUGAUUAGGAUACGCAACAGGCAACAUAUUUACUGGCAGAUUAUUGGCCUGUUAGAAAUUGUGUUAAUAUAGAAUCAAUUACAUAAACUAAGAAGUUGAAACUUGAAAUUUUUCUGUAAAAUAAAGCUAUACAAAUUUUUGGCAUAAAAGUUGCACACAGCUCAUAAAAAAAAGGGAACUGCAAGACCAUUUGCAUCAUGUUUAUAAGAAAGAAAAAAAUUCUUUUAAUUCUGUUAAGCAUCCUUCAUGAUCAGCCAUGUUCUAGUAUUUUGGAUAAUCUAAACUUACCUUUUUGUUACUGGCCUUUUAGGGAACAAUUUCGCUACCUACCUUUUAUGGAACAAUACAUUAAGGAUAUGAAAUACAUUUAUUUCUGUAAUUUAAUAUUACACGGUCAAAAAAAUAUGUCAUAAGAAAGAAAAGCUUCAAAUUUAGCAAUGUAACUCAGACUUCCAUCAGAUAAAUCAGAAUGUGCAAAAAUUAACGGAUAGAUUUAUACCUCAUCUGUUAUCUCGAAAGGUCUUGAUCUCUUCAGAACGUGCUCAGAAUCAGCUGUUUGAUAGUCCAUAGUUGGGUUACUGGUUGGAGUCGUCCUAGGGCACUUGAUUGCAGCUAUGUCAUAAGCUUCUGCAGCUUCCUCUUGGGUGCCUAAAAUUCAAUUCAAGUUUAGACUUUUGUACGAAACUGCAUUAAUUAGCUUUGCAAGAAAGAUCAAAACUUUGCAGUAAAAUAUAGCCUUUAUAAGUGAUUUUAGCUGGAAAGUCUUUUUCUAAAACAGCCUUUAAAAAGUUCAUUGUUACAAUUAAAAGCAGACAUUUCAUCAGCAUUAUAAAAAGUGUGAGAACAGAGUUGCUGUAAAAAUAAGUCAUUUUGAAGAAGUGCUUAAGCAAAGAGCCUUAUGGAAUUUAGAAAAUGUGACCGAAAACAAAACGAAUUCAAACAAUGUAUGAAUUUUACCAAAAGUUCCAAGAUAAAGAUGCUUGUUCCCAGUACCUCGGCCAAUCCUAGCUUGCCAUCUCCCAUGCUGGUGAUGUCUGCAGAAAACCAAGAUCAGAAAACAAAACCAAAAUUAGAACAAUAUUAACCCUUUUAACCUUCAAAUUUGGUGCGUUUAAUGCAAAACCGAAAAAACCUUGUCAUGCCUCGGUACAGCGAAGGCCCUCUUAAAAAUCCACUGCUUUUCCUGAAAAUCAAAGGAACUGAUGAAUACUCAUAAAAAAUUUUAAAACAUUAGAAAACAAUCUUCUGAUUAACAAAUCAAAAUCGCUACCUUCACAGAUGCGCAAUAUAUUCCCGCCAGCUUAUGUUAUUCAUCUCUUCAAGUUGUGCAGUGUAAAUAUCCAACUGCCAAAAGACCAAGAGAAUGAAACUUCAGCUACUAAAAAGCUUUCACAAAUUGAUAAAAACUCCAAGAGUCAGAACCCUACCGGAAAGUUUAUAUGAGUUGAAGAACCCCAGUACUUAAGAGCAGCAAGACCAUAUGCUCUAGCAACUUUCUCCUCCAUAUCAUAACCUCCUGCAGUUCAAACGAACAAAUGAUUAAUGCAAAUCGACAAAUUAGGUGACAAUUAAAACUAAAAUCCAAAUCAAAAAUGCCAAAAUCUGAAAGGUACCGUUUCCCGAAACUGUAAAACAAAACGUUUCAAACAUGCACAAAAAACGAUCCAAGGAAAAACAAAAAAUUGAAACCAUAUACGUUGAGAAGCAUGCAAUCUGACAAAAAAAAUCCCAAAAUCCGAAAGGUACCACUCCUAAUCCUAACCUUAAUUCUCAGAACAACCAGAUUCCCAACACCAAUUGACAAUCCAACCAUGAAUUUCCAAAACUUUCCCAAAUCCCAAUCUUCAGCAUGCAUUAAAUCCUAUCUAAAACUUAACAUGUACUGGAUAAUGAAGAAUCACCCCAAAUUGCUAUGAAGGUCUGCUGCACACGUGAGGACACGUUCACAAAGCCUUUCAAUGGCUGAGAUUCAACUUUCAAAUAUGAAGACUUUAAGCCACAAUUGUUCUUUCUUAACUUUAGCUACUUCAGCUACAUAAUCAGAAAAGAAAAAAAAAAUUCAUUAUAGUUAACUAAUUUGGGUUAAGAUUAAUAAAAAAGCUUGGAAAUUUCAAAUCUAAAAUCACACCUCAUGCUGCAAGAAGAAUAAAAAUCAUGGAAUUUCAAAACCACUCACCUUAAACACAGAGGUCUUCGCAGGCUUCAAAGAAAAGUCACAAACUCAAAAAAACCCGAUCUCCUGAAAUUGAAAAACAAAACCAAAUUAACCUUCAUCACCUAGAAUCCGAAGAUACAAACAAAAUUCCGAAAAUCACAACCAAAAAAUUUUAACAAAAAACCCAUUUAAAAUCCAAACUUAAACUCCCAAGCACAUAACAUUCAAAGCAAUGCAGCAAAGACUUGUGCACAAAAAAACCCAGAACUAACCACAAAACGGCAAGACUUCAGACGUGAAGAAGUCAGCGUGCGAAGCGCAGGAGCAAAGCUGAGAAGACAAAGACAACAAAGUGAAAACGAAAGGCAGAGAGCGAAAGAGAGAAGCGGAAAAACAAAAGGAAAAAGUGAGGAGAGAGCGAUGAAAAUGAAAGAAAAAGCAAUAAGACCUCCGAACAGAAAACGUCCCGAUCAUCAACACGUGGAAUACAGAGGCCAAAAAAAUCUGAGCAAAACCAAAAAAGUAGGUGGAAACGGAUGAGGAUGGGGAAAGAAAAACCCAAAGCUUACAAAAACAAAAAAAGAAGCAAAAGCUAAACGGACGAUAGACGCGUGCGGUAGGAAGGCACGAUGGUCUUUUUGCUGUGCUAAAAGGUCAAAAAACAACAAAUCACAAAGGAAUUAAAUGGCAAAACAGUAAUUUCACUGUUCAUAAACAGUGUUUUUGUGUUGGAUUUUAGUAUAGGUAUAAUAUAUAAAUAAAUGUAACUGAGAAGAGAAAAAGAAGGUUUGAGAGAGAAAGAAAGGUCAGGCGGAAAAGAAUGAAAAUGAGGAGAGAGAGAGACGUGAGGGAUGAGAGAUGAGAGAGCCCUGACAUUUUUUAAUCUUAUAUUUUUACCCACCAACUACCAAAAGCUGAUGAGAGGAUAAAAAGAAGGUUUGAGAAAGAAAGAAAUGCAGGCGGAAAAGAAUGAAAAUGAGGAGAGAGAGAGAGACGUGAGGGAUGAGAGAGAGGGGGACAGAUGGGAACCACUGACAUUUUUUAAUCUUAUUUUUUUGUCCAACAACUACCAAAGCUAAUAAGAGGCAGUGAAGGACAAAAUAGACUUUCCACUGUAUCAAAUUGUGAACAGUAAGCAGAACAAAGAAGAAACUGAGGGCAUUUCCGUCCAAACACUGUUCACGAACAGUGAAAAACAGUGCCACCCGAGUUUGGGUUUUAGUAUAUGUAUAAUUUUAGGAUGAGUGGAAUGAAAUAUCUUUCCCUUGUGUAAAAAAUUGUGCUUGCAAUUGUGUUUCUCUUUGAAUAUGAAUUUCUUAUGUGUGCUAUACUUAUUGUACACAAAAACACAAUACAGAAGCACACGGGGUUAAGUACAUUGAAUAGUUUUCAUUGUACUACAAGUACAAGUAUACUUUAAGGACUGAACAUGUAUGCUCUUCAAAUUUUUCUAGCUAGAUCUCUAAGGCCAUCUCCAACCGAAGGCUGGCUAGAUGACUCGUUUUAGCCAUCUAGCCCUCCAAGAUAUUAAUAUUUUAAUAAACAGUACAUGGCCAUAUUUGCCUUCAUCUCCAACCGAGGGCCAAAAGGCCAUAGGGCUUGUUUUAGCCCUGUCACAAAAAAAAGUCUCUAACCGAGGGCCAAAUAUAAUUUAUUAUUUAAAUUUAAUGUUGUUUCACGUUACUUAAUUUAAUUUAAUAUUGUAUAAUAGCUUAGGAAGUUAUAGAAAAAAAAAAGAAUUUAAUAAUAAUAAUAAAAAUUGUAAAAAGAAAAAAAAAAGGGCCUACUAUUCUUGUCGGAUAUAACCUACAGGAAUAAGUGCAAUGUUGUCGGUUAUAUCCGACAUGACUAAUGAAAAUCCAGCCCGGCCCGUGGCUAGCUGGAUUGGGCCAGCCAUUUGACCUUUUCAGAUUUCGUGGGGCCCACGAGCCCUUUGGCCUAGCCCUCGGUUGGAGAUGAUUUUUGGACUAUUUUCGGCCCUCUGGCCCUUUGGACCCUUUGGUUGGAGAUGGCCUAACAUGACAAAUGUUGUUUGCGAGUCACCAAUAUGAGCCUUUAGCACAUUUGUGUUGGAGAUGAUCUUAGGUUUUUCUAGUCCUUUUUUGGGUUUGGAUAGGAAAAGAAAUUUACGCAGCCAGGGUGUCUUGGUAGGUCCUAUCCCAUAGCGAGGGGAGAAACUUUUAGCAACAAAUGCAUUAUCCUAGUGACAUCACCUAUUCAGUAAACGUUUGUUAUGUGUUCAAAAAGUGACAAUAUACGUCUAAUAAACAUUUAACCAUAUGAUAGAUAAAAUACAUCUUAUAACUUUUUCUGGUAGCUGCCACAUAAUCAAGAUAUCCCGUAGAAACUCGGUUGAGCUAUACCAUUUGGGGGUUGCUCAUUUUACUACCUUUCAUAUUAAAAAUAGUCAUCUUUAUCCUGAGUCCAUUAUUCCGGUCGUAUGAUAGGUAUGGAACCAAUAGGAUCCUCUCCGUAUCCUUUUGGUGAGGAUUAUGGGGAUCCGUGAAUUGUGUCCGUUCAUUGUACAUCGUGCGGUCAAUUUUUGUCAAGUACUAUUUAAAAUGAUUUCUGAUCACACGAUAUAUGAUUAAUGGACAUGAUUCACGGAUCCUCAAGAUCCUUACAAAGAGGAUCCGGACUCGGUAUAUGGAAAAGAGCAUAUGCAAUUAGCCUUGCAUCCAGACUUCCAGAGCAGUCUUGAGCCCUCAACAGAGAACGAAGGACUAUAUAUUUAUUUUUGGAAACGAAGGACUAUAUAUUUUUUUGGACAAAAAACGAAGGACCAUAUAUAAUCAUCCAGAAAUAGGGUCUUAUUCCCCAAGUCCUUUAUCUCCGACUCUAACUGCCAAUUUCCCUCACUCAAUGGCAUCUUCAAAACCUUAAACCUAGUUCAUUUGGUCACUAGAGAACAGGAUUAUGAAACUUUAAUUGUUCUCCCAUGCAGAGGUUGCCGACCAAACUUACAACUUUUUCUGGUGGAAGCAUUUGAGGUUAUUCUAUUUAGUUCAAACUCUACUAACUAAUCAUAAGAAGAGGAAAAAACAAGCAUGAAAGACUAUUGCAAAACGUUUCUACUAUCGUCAUUUACAAAAUACUACUGAAGGAACAACAAAACUUCGUCACUAAUUAGUUCACUUGCUCAGCCAUUGUGAAAGAAGGUUUCCAUGGCAAGUUUUUGCAGAGGCAGCCCUGCCAAAUCUCGAUAGUUUUGCCUGUUGUGUCAACCACAUCACGGUGACCAUUCUUGGCAUUCAAGUCUGACUUUUUGUUUUUUGUGCUACUGAGCUUGUUUGAUGGAUGUGGCACCUAAACGAGGCGUGUUCCGUGGGAGCGCAUAUGCAAGUCUUCUUGGAACUACUUGUAUUUUUAACUGGUUUGCUUUCGGUCAUAUUCUUCCUUGGAAUCUUCUUUCGUAUGGCCUUGGCUAAUUCAUCUUCUCGACUAGGCAGACUACCCGUCACUUUAUCAAGCCUGGUAAUUGUAAAUCAUAAACACAGGGGGAUUGGGAGUAUCCAUUACAAGGAUAAGAAGCAUAUGCAUUAUUGUUAUACUAUCGCACAGCUUCGUAGUUUUCAAUGAAACACAUAGAAGCAGCAAAGUAACCAAAAGAGUAAUGCUAGAAAAACUAAAUUUGUAGACUAAAUUUACAAACUAAAUAAUGUGUCACUAAUAGAAAAUGAACACAUUUAUCAACGUUUAAGCAAUAAUUCAAUCAUCAACUUUCAUAUCAUUUUGUUUAUAAAAUUUAUUCUUCCUAACGUUACUCUAACCAAAAUAUAAAUUUUUUUUUAUCGAGACAAAAACCACGUGGCAAGUUGGAUGCAUGUAUUCUCAAAUUAAGGCCGAAAAUCUACUCAAACCAUGUUUAUACUUUGAGCAGAAACAUCGUCAUAACAAAUCAACUAAAGAGAUACAAACAAAGCAAUGCAAGUGGUUGAAAGGGCUUGAUCAACAGAAAAAACUGCAUCAGCAAAAUAGAUUAAUUAAGAAAUACAAUUGAGAUCCAAGAGUAAAUAAUCAAAUAUAUGAUGAAAUCAUGAAUUAUCUAAAAAUUCUUGUUUUACCAAAUUAAGCUGCUCCACCAUUUAUCCUAGUAAUGCUAUAACCUGAUUAAAGCUUAAUUAUCAGUCUCCAAAUUCUUAAAUCUUUUACCUAAACCCAUAACAAUCCGUCAGAUUGUAAACACCUCAACACCUUAUCAAUUGCAUUAGUUAGGGCUUAGAAAUUGGGUUUAACACCAAUAACCCAAUUUGAAAAAUUAAUUUAUGGCUUCCAAUUUUACAAAGUUGCAACUUUGAAAAAUUGAUAAAAAUAUAUCAGUUGAAUUAAGAGAUAGAUGAGAAUACCCAUCAAAAUUACGGAAAAAUUUAAUACACAAAAAUACCAAUAACAUACCAAAGAGUGAUGGGUUUGGGCUCAUAUUCUCAUCAGCCGGCAUUGUCAUCGUAUCAAAUUAACUGGAUGUCGAAAGAUCAAGAUUGUUCUUGAAACCCCAAGAAAGAAUAAUUCAAAGACAGAUCUUACGAAUAAGGCGAAUAAAUAUAGAUUUUUGGAAGGUGGGCUCACAAACUAUGAAGUAAUAUGGCUAUUGCUUGGACAACUCGUAGAGAUGGGAUGUAUUGGAUGAUUUGGUUUGGGUUUCUGGGUGUGUUAUCCAUACAUUUUUUUUUACUUUGUACACAUAUUUGUUAAUUUCUUUUAUUUGAUAUUCUUUAAUUCAAUCGAUUCGACGGUUGCAAAUUAAGAUGGUGUGUAUAAAAUAAAAAUAAGUAUGUGAAUUGAACAUCCCUUUCUAGAAAGAGGAGAGAGAGAAUCGAUAGAGUCAUUGUAAUCAGGCCAAUCAAGAAGCAACACGUUCAUGCAUGCAAUGCAGAGAGACGUAACACUUGUCUGCGUUACAAAGAUUCCUAUAUACUUGGCAUAUAGUGAAAGAUCACAGUGAUAUGGAUCAAUAACGACUCUACUACUACCAAUGCUCUCUUGGCUCUUAUACUCUCCGAGUUAGGCUGCAUCAGGAUUCAAAUAAUGUCAGCAACUUCACUGUUCACUUGGCUCAAUUUUUAUCUUUCGACAAAAUUAAGAAGAGAUGAUAUCGAAAGUAUUCAAAAAAUUAAGACUGACAAUAAAAGAGUCCAUACUUACACAUAGUUAGUGAGCAAAACAUUUUUAUUUUAUUAUACCAUUAGUUUCGUUAACAUCUACUUCAACGAUUAAUUGAUGCAAGAAAUUUUGUAGAGAUAAUUAGAUAUAGGAUCAUUACACACUUAAUUAUUAUAUUUAAUUCUCAAGAUUUUGUUUAUUAUUGAGGUCCAUAGAUUUUGAUCCAACUUAACAACUCUCCUUUUGUAUGAUGAUGAGUCAUUCUAUUUUUAAGUCUACAUUUUUUAUAUUUUUUAAAUGACAUUUAUACCCUAAUCUUUUGAACGUAAUGGGAUGAAUGUAAUUUUCCUUAAUUUUAUACAUUUUGACUUUAAUUUUCUUUCUUUAUUAAGUUUUGAGUCAUUAUUUGCAUUAUAAUACUAAAAAUUCUGCAGCAAACUGGUAUUGUGCUUCAAAUCGGUGUCGUGCACUUUUAUCUUUGUUUGAUUUUUUUUUGUUUGUUGUAUUCUUUUGAGGGAGUCGCAUGUUCAUCAAACUACAUAUAUAUCAGGUUUAUUAGAUCUGACCAUCAUGUUCAUAUGCACCAAACUAUCAGUUUCAUUCAACCUGCAUAUCAGGUUUAUUACAACCAAACUACCAUGUUUGCUACACCUGCAUAUUAGAUUUAUUAAACUACAUAUCAGGUUCAUUUUGAAAAAACCUACAGGUUCAUUCAGUCUAAACAUAUGGUUCAUUAUCCUAGGACCUAAAGAGAAAAAUGAUCCUCUUCUCAAAUAUUUAGCUUCAAAUACAAAUUCCUAUUGAUUGAAAAUUGUCGAAAGUAUAUGGGUUCAUGCAUACCAGCAACUUACCCCAUCUUCCCAAUGGAUGAAGAAAGAUGUAUGGAACGGUAAGUAAUUUGACAUUUGCAGACUAUAUAACUGGAAUCACCAUUCGAAUCCAACGUGAGUUAUUGUUGAGACUAUUAAUCUCAUAUCGAGAAAAAAAGAAAUUUUGUAUGUGCUUAUAAAUAAGAGUGGUGAUAUUUCCACCCCGGUGUCUUAUUUCCCCACCCACCAUUUAAUGAAAAUGUUAAUAACAUAUUUAUCCUUUUAAAAGAAGACUCUUAAACCCCUAUUUAAUUCAAUACUAAAAUUUUGAAAAGACAAAAAAUAAUUUAAAAUAAUAAAUAAAUAAUGGUGGGUGGGGUGUGAUAUCUUUGGGGGAAAGAGGUUGGGAAAGAUUGGGGUUAGAAUUGACGGAAAGGUUGGUGGAAGGAACGAGCGUGUGCUGGACGAAGGCGAGAAACUUCAAUGGAGAAAAAAGAGAAUUGAGUGUGAGAUCUGCGGUUUUGACAAAAAAUGAAGAAGAAUAGUGGUUUGGGGGUCCGGGGUCUCUGUAGGACGGCGAUAAGUGUGAAGGAGAUGA